UAAUACAAAGAAAAUUAAAAUGUGUGCAAUGUCAUUGCUUAGAAAGUGCAAAUGUAAAAAUUGAUAUUUUGGAUGCAAUGUAUUCCAUCUGAACCUAUGUACAAAUACUGGCAUCUAUGACAUUACAUUGAUGAUAUGAUAUUACGUAUCUAUGAUGUACAUAUGUACAUUGUCCCUGAUUUACUGAAAUUGCAAAGAGCACAGAGGACAUGCUCCACUACACAGAAACCCAAACCCACGCAAUGCUAUAAAAAGAAGCAUUGUUGACAUAGAAAAUAAACCUGUUGAUUCUAGAUACAUGUAUCUCUUCUUAUCCUAAGUGUGUCAAAGGGCAGCUAAAGCUCUUUACCCUCUGUCUAGUUGCAGCACAGUCAAGCAAUUAAUAAUAUACAGUUCCUUCUAUAUCAAUGUGUUCUACAGGACCUUCUAUAUCGGUAGCCAGAGGGUCUGUCAUUUUUUGUAAAUGUUCAUUUUAUUUGUUUGUUUUUACACACAUGGACAUCACAACCAACCAUCAUCAAGGUUAUUAUACUUAUUAAUGGGUUAGUAUAGUUAUUAGGUUAUUUGACUGCUCAUUUGAAUUGAAGAGGUUUAAUCCAUGUUUUAAUAGCUCAAACACACAAGCUUGUACUGUAAAGAAUAUCAUCUUUAUUCUAAAGUGUUCUGUUUGUGCAGAUUUCUGCAAUUUGAAAUAUUUAUAGAGUUCCAAGGUCCCCGGUUCCGUCCUGGGCUUGGGUUAUUGUCACAUGUUCUCCAUGCAUUUAUGUGGGUUUCCUCCAGGUUUUCUAGUUUCUUCCCACAUCCCAAAAGCAUGCAGACUGGCAUAUUGGCUAUGCUAAAUUUCCCCUAGGUGUGGAAAAGUAAGUGUGUGUAUGUGUGUGUGUGUGUGCGGUGUUCUGCGAUGUACUGGUGUCCCAUCCAGGGUGAAUUCUCCUACCUUGAGUCCAGCAUUCACGGGAUAGGUUCCUGAUCCACCAAGACCCUUUCCAGGAUAAAGUUACUGAAAAUGAAUGAUGGAAAUGUCAAUGGUAAAAUGUAUCAAUGUUCACGCUCUCAGAAGACCUGACCAGCCCUUGGCAGAGAGUGCUUUACCUUGGGUCUGAGCCUGAUCUGGUCAAUUUCAGCAUGUGUCAGCACUGUUCUUGAAACUUCACAUGGGUGCUGCAUGAACACACUCCUGACCUGCAAAGCAUGACCUUUUGAUUAAAAUGUACGUGUACAUUCUCAGUUUUCUGAAACUUUACAGCUGCAUCAGAGAUCUUGUGGUAACAUUAAAAUCUCUAUCCUA
Molecule: long non-coding RNA, 1288 nt
Organism: Ictalurus punctatus (channel catfish)
Lineage: Eukaryota; Metazoa; Chordata; Actinopteri; Siluriformes; Ictaluridae
Exons: 2
Source: RefSeq, a predicted model, not a curated record